GAAUCUUAAGCAGGCUCCACAUCCGGCUCGGAGCCCAACAUGAGGCUCGAUCUCACGAGUAUGAGAUCAUAAUCCGAGGUGAAACAGAGUUGCACGCUUAAUUGACUGAGCCACCCAGACAACCCUUAGAUCGCUCUUGAGUAGGGAAUUUUACCAUCGGAUCUUUGCUGUUAGUGAAUGAACUUUAAUUUUGUAACCUCUUAGAGUUGUAAGCCAACUGUUUGAGAACGUGUGUCAAAAGUAGAGAAUCUAUACUUUUCGUGAGAUUUUACGAGGUUAUGAGACCUAAGAGGGCCCAUAAAAUGUCUCUGGAGAAUACAGUAUGUUGAUAUGACUUUUAAUAAGUUUUGACUGCUGCAGUACAAAACCUUUUUUGAACCCCAACUUUACAUUUCAAAAGAGACUAAAAAAUAAUUCCAUUUGAGGCCUUGAUAGACCUAAUGAUUCCCUGACUCUAGUUUUUGUGGUGUCACAUCAACCGAGGGAAGUUAAUAAAGAGAAGUGUUCUUCAAACCAAGCAUCAUAAGCGACCAAGACAGGGGCUUUGGCUACCUGUGAAGGAAACAAAGAUACGAAAAUCACUCAUCAAUAUACUGACAGUAUCCCUAGGCCAGAAUUGCGGGCACUAAUUGAUGGGUUCAGCUCCCCAUUGUUGAUAAUUAAGGCCAUCUGCUUCGAACUGGGAUCUGCAGGGAGACUAAAUCUCCAUCACAAGCCAGUAGAAGAUCCAGUGGAAGAAAGGACAAUAUGUUGGAUAUCCUGUCUUGCCCUCCAGAUUCAUUCUCCACCUGACUCCACCCUGUUCUCCAUCCAG
This is a long non-coding RNA of Prionailurus viverrinus (fishing cat), 814 nucleotides long. RefSeq lists it as uncharacterized. The transcript has 3 exons. Lineage: Eukaryota; Metazoa; Chordata; Mammalia; Carnivora; Felidae. The record is from RefSeq and is a predicted model, not a curated record.